AAGCAGAAAGCAAGCAAAUCUCACCGUUUUCAUGGAAAAAAGACACUGCCAUGAAAUCCCAUGUUCUUUUUCUUCUCUUCUUUUUUUCCUCCUCUUCUUAUCUUAUCACUUCAUUUUCCCUCUUCAGUUUACACUCUUCCCAAAGAGUAUUUCAUCAGCUGUGGUUCCAACACUACUAUUUUUUCCGCUGGCCGGAACUUCACCGGGGA
RNAcentral lists this unclassified non-coding RNA (209 nucleotides) under Hevea brasiliensis (rubber tree). Lineage: Eukaryota; Viridiplantae; Streptophyta; Magnoliopsida; Malpighiales; Euphorbiaceae. The record is from RNAcentral.